Molecule: transfer RNA, 73 nt
Organism: Ovis aries (sheep)
Lineage: Eukaryota; Metazoa; Chordata; Mammalia; Artiodactyla; Bovidae
Rfam family: tRNA
About the family: Transfer RNA (tRNA) molecules are approximately 80 nucleotides in length. Their secondary structure includes four short double-helical elements and three loops (D, anti-codon, and T loops).
Source: Rfam
UCUCUGGUAGCUCAAUGGCUAAGACUCUGUACUCCCAAUGCAGAGGUCCCAGGUUCUAUCCCUGGUCAGGGAA